Molecule: ribosomal RNA, 305 nt
Filed under: uncultured bacterium
Lineage: Bacteria
Description: bacterial SSU rRNA
Rfam family: Bacterial small subunit ribosomal RNA
Source: RNAcentral
UUACUCCUACGGGAGGCAGCAGUGGGGAAUAUUGCACAAUGGGGGAAACCCUGAUGCAGCGACGCCGCGUGAGUGAAGAAGUAUUUCGGUACGUAAAGCUCUAUCAGCAGGGAAGAAAAAAAGUCCUUUGGACUUUGGACGGUACCUGACCAAGAAGCCCCGGCUAACUACGUGCCAGCAGCCGCGGUAAUACGUAGGGGGCAAGCGUUAUCCGGAUUUACUGGGUGUAAAGGGAGCGUAGGUGGCAUGGUAAGCCAGAAGUGAAAACCCAGGGCUCAACUCUGUGGAUUGCUUUUGGAACUAUC